UAUCUUCUGGGUUGUCUCUGCUCCAUGGGUUAAAUAGCCGCAGUAUUUUGACUGUGCUAAGGUAGCAUAAUAAUUUGUUCUUUAAUUAAGAGCUAGAAUGAAGGAGUUGACGACACUUAAACUUUUUAGUUAGAGUUAUGGAAUUUAAUAUUUGCUUUAAAAAGAGUAAAUUAAUUAGGGGGACGAUAAGACCCUAUAAAACUUUAAUUUAAGCUAUUUAUAUUAUUUAGUGUAAAAUAAAUAUUUAAAUUUAAGCUGGGGCGGCAUUUAAAUUACAUUAAUAGUGCUAACAUAUUUAGUGAUAUUAAGGAUCUUACUAAGAGAUAGAACAAGUUACUUUAGGGAUAACAGCACAAUUUUUCCAAAUAGUUCACAUAAAAGGAAAAGACUUGUGACCUCGAUGUUGAAUUAAGGUGUCUUAUUAAGCAAAAAU
Molecule: ribosomal RNA, 433 nt
Filed under: Chelator insignis
Lineage: Eukaryota; Metazoa; Arthropoda; Malacostraca; Isopoda; Desmosomatidae
Description: partial 16S ribosomal RNA
Rfam family: Archaeal large subunit ribosomal RNA
Source: RNAcentral